AACAUUUAAAUAUAUAUAUAUACCAAUAGUUAAUCAUUCCAUUAUUACGUUGUCUGUUAUAUACUUAUUUGUGGUCUUGUAAUCUUCUUCUUCACCUACAUCUAUUGCUUUUUUAUUGCUCCUCUAUUGCUCUUCUAUUGCUCUUGUAUUACUCCUCUAUUGCUCUUCUAUUGCUCUUGUAUUACUCCUCUAUUGCUCUUCUAUUGCUCUUGUAUUACUCCUC
This 223-nucleotide long non-coding RNA is filed under the name Vigna radiata. Its description in RNAcentral is "long non-coding RNA (VRAD_LNC005870)". The record is from RNAcentral. Lineage: Eukaryota; Viridiplantae; Streptophyta; Magnoliopsida; Fabales; Fabaceae.